Molecule: ribosomal RNA, 253 nt
Filed under: uncultured bacterium
Lineage: Bacteria
Description: partial 16S ribosomal RNA
Rfam family: Bacterial small subunit ribosomal RNA
Source: RNAcentral
UACAGAGGUGGCAAGCGUUGUUCGGAAUUACUGGGCGUAAAGGGCGCGUAGGCGGUUCGUUAAGUCCUGUGUGAAAUCCCCCGGCUCAACUGGGGAGCUGCACAGGAAACUAGCGGGCUUGAGUUCGGGAGAGGGAAGCGGAAUUCCGGGUGUAGCGGUGAAAUGCGUAGAUAUCCGGAGGAACACCGGUGGCGAAGGCGGCUUCCUGGACCGACACUGACGCUGAGGCGCGAAAGCUAGGGGAGCAAACGGG